CCGGUUCCCCGUCCGGCGCACCGCAAGGGACGCGGGGCUCUGGGCGCGGGGGCGGCGGGGGCUCUGCGCUGGGCUGGGCUGGCCCGCUCCGGCGCCGGGGACCACGCGCGACUGGUUAGAUCUUGUCGUGAUCUCUGGAAAACUGUGACUAUCUCACAUGUCCUGCCCUGCUCGGAUCCCCUGCGCUAACGAGCCAGGCCCCCCUUGAUUGCUGAUUUUACGCUUUUUGGACCAAUUGUGGGUCUCCGGGGGCGGGGUUUUGACAGCUCAGGCCAAGCUCCGGCCGGGAGGGGGGGCCGGGGAGAAGGUGUCGGAAGCCUCAGCAGUAAGAAAACAUGUCAACAGAAUAAAAUAUUAACCAAUGACGGGCCAGCGGGCCCCGAGACCCCUCCCCCUGCCCCGGCCCCCACCUCGCAGCCCGCGCCUGAGGCUGCCUUCGCCGGGACUGGAAAGCGCGGCGGCCGACCCGACCCGCCGCCGAAAGGGCCUGAGGCGGGGGGCGCCUGGGUCCCAGGGCCCUGGGGAAGGACCCCCAGCCGCAAGCUGCCCCAAGUGCAAAGCAUUGACAGGGCCCCGAGAGGAGAGGGGGCGCCCUCCUUCUCCCGCGCUCGGCCGCCCAGCAGCUCUGGCGCGCGCCCCAGCUUGGCCUCCGACCCCGCACCCGGCCGCGGCGCGGCCCGGGCCCCUGCGCUCCGGAGGGAGGCUGCGGGUGCUGGAAAGAGAGGCCGGUGGGCGGGCGAGUCGGGAGGCGCCGGCUGCCGAGGUCCUGGACCGGAACCCAGGUGGCGGGAGCCGAGGAGCUGACACUCGUGUUUGACAGAGUGCUGUGCACCUGAAUUUACCUUGAGACCACUGGGCCACCGCACCAAUCGAUCCCAGACAGUGUCCUCUAUCCCUGAGCGGCCACCCCAGCUCCCCUCUGACUCCUCAAAAACCGUGAAGAUUUUUUUGUUCCUCCCUCACAUUGAGAGAAGGUCCACAGUCAUUUGCCUGUCGAGCAGGUAGCAGUGUAAGAAUCAGGGAGGUCACAUGUCUUCCUCAAGGUCACCUGCUCAGGCCACAAUUUAGAUGCAUGUUCUGAUGGCCUCCUGGGUGAUGCCAUCAUGGAGGUCUGCUGGGGCUGCUGGGAGUGAGGCGGAGAGCGCCCUGGGUGUUAUCUCUAGAGGAUAGGAGGCUGGCUGCUCCCGGGCCAGUGGGCAGUACGGUCCCCCACCCUGGGGCCCAGCUCUCACUUCCAGCUGAUUACAGGCUGGGGCAGGGUCUAUAACCUCUCCAAUUAGCCAGGGGCCAGGCCCAAGGCCUCUCUGAUAACCCCAGCUCCAGUGGCAGCCGCCAUGGGGCCAGCUUAUCUGGCCUCUCUUAUCCUCCCCCUUCCCCCACAUACUCAAAGAGUCGCCCUGGCUGCGAGCAGAUGAAUAACCAGAUUGUCCUGCAAGCUCAGCCGGCAAGUCCAGCCCUACACCCACCACUUUCCCUGACUGAAGGAGGCCACAGCUGUUUUGCACCCCCUGGAGGGUGAGGGCUGAGCCAGGGAGGACUCCUGACUCGAAGAUGCCAGCCGCUUCCCUGCGUGGUUGGAGGGCGCUCCGGGCUCUCCGUCUUGGUCCCAUCCACGUGCCCGUGGGUGGGUUCAGAGAGGCCUACCCCUGCCUGCCUCAAGCUCUGGACCCUUCCACAAGGAGCCAGGCCAUGGGCAGUGUGCAAAGGCAGACUGGUGGCAGCCCCCUCCCUCCCUGGCCCCCUUGGACGGAAACUCGGCUCGGGCUGGAGGUGGGGGCUGUGCCAGGCACCUCGAUGUCUCCAACUGAGCUGGAAGGGGAAGAGCUGCUGCUCGUCCGGCAGCCCCCACCAGGCCCGGGCCUCCCUCCGUUCCCAGCAUGCCUCACUCUGGCACGUGAUUCCUCACCCCACAGGUUCCCAGGCAGGAGGGACUGGCUUCAGCCACCCUCGCUUCAGAGCUGAGUGUGACUCAGGUCCCCCUUUGCCCAGCAUGCCCAACGGGUCGGGGAGGGGCACUGGAGCUGUCCCUGCUCGGGCUGGACGGCUGGAUGGGAAGCCCUGCUUGUUUGUGAACGUAACUCUUCUGUGGCUGUCACAUUAAACGUCACUCCAAACCACACCUGGCUCAGUGGGUUUCCUUCAAUCCUCCCCGGCCCUUCCCAGGUCUCAAGGAAGGCGAGACUGGGGCUCGCAUUCGUCUCCCAUCCUGCUUGACACCCCUCUGCUCCCCCUGCUCCUGUCUCCUUCCUACCAUUGGCUUUAGGUCCAGAAUUGGGAGGAGGGAGGGGAAACCCCUCAGGGAAUUGUCAUCCAAGGUGGCAGCCAGGUUUCGUGGGAGACCUGCCUCGGCCCCACCAGCCUUCCAUCUUCUGAGUUUGAAAAAAGAGGCAAUGACAAGGUCCCUGUCCCAAACAUAAGCCCAGGGUCUUCCUCAGGCUCUCCUACCCACAGCAGCCCACCUGCGUGUGCCAAGGACCUGACUGCCACAGCCGGGGAGGGUCCGGGACUGUGGUGCCCCCAGAACUCAAUGGUGACAGGCAAGCAGGUGGGAGAAUGGAUUUAAGUCAGGCCCCACCCUGAUUCCGAGUCCGGAAUAAACAUCCUCCUUCUCCCUCCUACCCCCCUCCC
Molecule: long non-coding RNA, 2628 nt
Filed under: Sus scrofa (pig)
Lineage: Eukaryota; Metazoa; Chordata; Mammalia; Artiodactyla; Suidae
Description: lncRNA (ENSSSCG00030029687.1)
Source: RNAcentral